This 467-nucleotide ribosomal RNA is filed under the name uncultured bacterium. RNAcentral describes it as "partial 16S ribosomal RNA". It matches the Rfam family "Bacterial small subunit ribosomal RNA", at positions 28 to 506 of the family's 1533-position model. The record is from RNAcentral.
GACGAACGCUGGCGGCGUGCUUAACACAUGCAAGUCGAACGGAAAGGCCCUGCUUUUGUGGGGUGCUCGAGUGGCGAACGGGUGAGUAACACGUGAGUAACCUGCCCUUGACUUUGGGAUAACUUCAGGAAACUGGGGCUAAUACCGGAUAGGAGCUCCUGCUGCAUGGUGGGGGUUGGAAAGUUUCGGCGGUUGGGGAUGGACUCGCGGCUUAUCAGCUUGUUGGUGGGGUAGUGGCUUACCAAGGCUUUGACGGGUAGCCGGCCUGAGAGGGUGACCGGCCACAUUGGGACUGAGAUACGGCCCAGACUCCUACGGGAGGCAGCAGUGGGGAAUAUUGCACAAUGGGCGGAAGCCUGAGGCAGCAACGCCGCGUGCGGGAUGACGGCCUUCGGGUUGUAAACCGCUUUCGCCUGUGACGAAGCGUGAGGGACGGGAAUGGGGAAAGAAGCACCGGCUAACUACGU